Molecule: non-coding RNA, 28 nt
Filed under: Mus musculus (house mouse)
Lineage: Eukaryota; Metazoa; Chordata; Mammalia; Rodentia; Muridae
Source: RNAcentral
UCCACCCAGCUAUUCCUAAUUAUUGCUG